This is a non-coding RNA of Neotoma lepida (desert woodrat), 73 nucleotides long. Lineage: Eukaryota; Metazoa; Chordata; Mammalia; Rodentia; Cricetidae. The record is from Rfam.
GGAGAGAUGGCUCAGUGGUUAAGAGCAUUGAUUGUUCUUCCAGAGGACCUGGGUUCAAUUCCCAGCACCUACA